This 89-nucleotide transfer RNA is filed under the name Streptomyces coelicoflavus. RNAcentral describes it as "tRNA-Tyr". Lineage: Bacteria; Bacillati; Actinomycetota; Actinomycetes; Kitasatosporales; Streptomycetaceae. The record is from RNAcentral. RNAcentral also lists the same sequence under 2 other names.
GACGACGUUCAUGCAGGUCAGCUUGUGCCAGGUUGCAGACUGUAAAUCUGCCGGCUCAGCCUUCCCAGGUUCGAAUCCUGGCGCCGCCA